UACGGGGGGGGCAAGCGUUGUUCGGAAUUACUGGGCGUAAAGGGCGCGUAGGCGGUCUACUAAGUUGGAUGUGAAAACUCUGGGCUUAACCCAGAGCCUGCAUUCAAAACUGAUAGGCUGGAGUUCUGGAGGGGAUAGCGGAAUUCCUGGUGUAGCGGUGAAAUGCGUAGAUAUCAGGAGGAACACCGGUGGCGAAGGCGGCUAUCUGGACAGAAACUGACGCUGAGGCGCGAAAGCUAGGGGAGCAAACAGG
Molecule: ribosomal RNA, 253 nt
Filed under: uncultured bacterium
Lineage: Bacteria
Also listed under: 1 other name
Description: partial 16S ribosomal RNA
Rfam family: Bacterial small subunit ribosomal RNA
Source: RNAcentral